CGUGCAGUGUGGAGGCAGGGAGGGGGCGCUCUGUCUAUAGACUAUGAUACAGAAGCCGCGCGACUCCGGUAUCAGAAGAAUGAAGAGGAGGACGGGCAGUGUGUAUCAUAAAGAUUUAUAACAUAUAAAGUCCAUAUUAGGUCUAAUAUUAACCUCCAGUGAUGUAGUUGUAAGAACAGAUAAAAUAAGAACUCCAAGCUGAGUAGUGGAGAAGAGAUGUCAUACAUGCCUGAGAGACUGCAAGGUGACUUUUUUGACAGACAAGCGGUUACUGGAGAGAGAGCGCAGAGGGGGGCCAUUUCGAUUCAACGUGGAUUUGGAACAGCCCCUGCAGAUAUAGACUAUCCACUUUUUUUCCUCAAUUAUGAAGCCAGACCAAUAUAGACUGGGCGCAUUCUCCUCAUGGAUGACUUACACUAUGCAACACGGAAAUAAGCCUCUGCACUAAUGACUGCUGGGAAAUGGAGUUUAGAGCAAAUCAUGUGACAGUCAGAAGCUCCACCCACCACACUGAUUAUAAAAAGGGGAGGGGAUAAAAGAGGAGGAGGAGACAAGGAUAA
Molecule: long non-coding RNA, 560 nt
Organism: Hyla sarda
Lineage: Eukaryota; Metazoa; Chordata; Amphibia; Anura; Hylidae
Exons: 4
Source: RefSeq, a predicted model, not a curated record